This 74-nucleotide transfer RNA is filed under the name Haloarcula argentinensis DSM 12282. Its description in RNAcentral is "tRNA-OTHER". The record is from RNAcentral. Lineage: Archaea; Methanobacteriati; Methanobacteriota; Halobacteria; Halobacteriales; Haloarculaceae.
GCCGGGCGGUCCCGCGUGGUGUGGGAACUCGGCUGUUACCCGAGUUGUGCGAGGUUCGACUCCUUGGCCCGGCG